UCGCUGUGAAGAUGCAGUGUACCCGCGGCAAGACGGAAAGACCCCGUGAACCUUUACUAUAGCUUGACACUGAACACUGGUCCUUGAUGUGUAGGAUAGGUGGGAGGCUUUGAAGCGUGGACGCCAGUCUGCGUGGAGCCGACCUUGAAAUACCACCCUUUAAUGGCUGGUGUUCUAACGUAGACCCGUUACCCGGGUUGCGGACAGUGUCUGGUGGGUAGUUUGACUGGGGCGGUCUCCUCCCAAAGAGUAACGGAGGAGCACGAAGGUUAGCUAAUCCUGGUCGGACAUCAGGAGGUUAGUGCAAUGGCAUAAGCUAGCUUGACUGCGAGAGUGACGGCUCGAGCAGGUGCGAAAGCAGGUCAUAGUGAUCCGGUGGUUCUGAAUGGAAGGGCCAUCGCUCAACGGAUAAAAGGUACUCCGGGGAUAACAGGCUGAUACCGCCCAAGAGUUCAUAUCGACGGCGGUGUUUGGCACCUCGAUGUCGGCUCAUCACAUCCUGGGGC
This 506-nucleotide ribosomal RNA is filed under the name Enterobacter sp. UCD-UG_FMILLET. RNAcentral describes it as "bacterial LSU rRNA". It matches the Rfam family "Bacterial large subunit ribosomal RNA", at positions 2048 to 2553 of the family's 2925-position model. Lineage: Bacteria; Pseudomonadati; Pseudomonadota; Gammaproteobacteria; Enterobacterales; Enterobacteriaceae. The record is from RNAcentral.